AUAGUGUAGAUGAGAUUAUCUUGUUUUACUUUUUGUUUAUUUUCUUAAAAUAUUGGUUCAUUUAGACUUAAUUUAGCUAAUAUUGUUGUGACAUUACUUUUACUAAUUUUUGGCAUUAGUUGGGUAGAUAUAUGUGUUUCAUUGGGAUAACCAGAUUUAAGCUUGCUUCAAUUAACUCGUUUUACGCCUUUCUGUUUCUCAUAUCCCUUUGAUAACUGAUUACUUUUGAAACUGUGUUCUACAUUUGAUACAGUCGGAGUGGGAACCAACUUUGUCAAUCAAGCAAUUUAUUUAUUUAGUUCUUUUCAUCAACUUGAGUUGCUCUUAACCUACAAUUGCUGGAAAAAUGAGGGUGGUGAGUUGGAAUAAUGCUUGCUAGUAUGGUUAAACUUUUUGCACAAGAUUUUGUCAUGUUCUUGCCAUUAUGAGUUGCAACCUUAAUAAAUAUCAUAUCAAUUUGGUACAAGAAUAGCAUUAUCAGAGUAGCCUAGCAUUGCCACGGUUUUGGGGGCUAUUAGUUGGUAAUUUGUGCAGCUCCUGUUUGGCCAGAAUUUAUCUUUUCCUCAAUGAAACCAGAUUGUGAAUGGAAAGCACAAGCAGACAAUGUAUUUAUUGUUUCCUUCGACUGGAGUUGCAGUGGAAUUUGCAAGUUAGUAGAGAAG
This 662-nucleotide long non-coding RNA is filed under the name Olea europaea subsp. europaea. The record is from RNAcentral. Lineage: Eukaryota; Viridiplantae; Streptophyta; Magnoliopsida; Lamiales; Oleaceae.